This 445-nucleotide ribosomal RNA is filed under the name uncultured bacterium. RNAcentral describes it as "bacterial SSU rRNA". It matches the Rfam family "Bacterial small subunit ribosomal RNA", at positions 354 to 796 of the family's 1533-position model. The record is from RNAcentral.
GUAGGGAAUAUUGGGCAAUGGAUGCAAGUCUGACCCAGCCAUCCCGCGUGCCGGAAGAAGGCCCUCAGGGUUGUAAACGGCUUUUGACGGUGAAGAAUCGACAGGAUGCGUCCUGUUUUGACGGUAGCCGUUGAAUAAGCACCGGCUAACUCCGUGCCAGCAGCCGCGGUAAUACGGAGGGUGCGAGCGUUGUCCGGAUUUAUUGGGUUUAAAGGGUGCGUAGGCUGGAAGGUCAGUCAGCGGUGAAAAGCUGUCGCUUAACGAUAGUCUUGCCGCAGAUACUUCCUUUCUUGGAUGAGGAGGAGGCCACUGGAACGGAUGGUGUAGCGGUGAAAUGCAUAGAUAUCAUCCAGAACACCGAUUGCGAAGGCAGGUGGCUGUACCUUAAUCGACGCUGAUGCACGAAAGCAUGGGGAGCAAACAGGAUUAGAAACCCUAGUAGUCC